UGCAAGCACAGCUGUAAGUCCCUUUGGAUAAAAGUGUCUGUUAAAUGGCAUAUU
Non-coding RNA from Salmo salar (Atlantic salmon), 54 nucleotides. The record is from Rfam. NCBI's taxonomy places the organism in Eukaryota, Metazoa, Chordata, Actinopteri, Salmoniformes, Salmonidae.